This 353-nucleotide unclassified non-coding RNA is filed under the name soil metagenome. RNAcentral's name for it is "partial contains 5.8S ribosomal RNA, internal transcribed spacer 2, and large subunit ribosomal RNA". The stretch from base 1 to 120 matches the Rfam family "5.8S ribosomal RNA", at positions 35 to 154 of the family's 154-position model. The record is from RNAcentral.
GAUGAAGAACGUAGUGAAAUGCGAUAAGUAGUGUGAAUUGCAGAAUUCAGUGAAUCAUCGAAUCUUUGAACGCACAUUGCGCCUCCUGGUAUUCCGGGAGGCAUGCCUGUUCGAGCGUCAUUAAAAUCACUCAAGCUUAGGUUUACCUAUUGCUUGGUCUUGGAGAUGGAAGCCAAUUUAUUGGAAUCCUCUUCGAAAUUCAAUGGCGAAGACCCUUGCUCUCCCAAGUGUAGUAAUAACUUAUGUCACUGAAGGAAGCGAGAAAUCUUCUGCCGUAACCCCCAUAUUUUCUAUGAUUGACCUCGGAUCAGGUAGGGAUACCCGCUGAACUUAAGCAUAUCAAUAGCGGAGGA